AUCCUUUAGUAGUUCAUAAGUAUAAUGAUUGGCUUUUUAUGCUCAUGAAUAAGAUGUGCCUCUAUCAAGCCUUGUUAUGACACUGGCACAUUACUUAUCUGACA
Small nucleolar RNA from Callithrix jacchus (white-tufted-ear marmoset), 104 nucleotides. Lineage: Eukaryota; Metazoa; Chordata; Mammalia; Primates; Cebidae. The record is from Ensembl.